RNAcentral lists this ribosomal RNA (2933 nucleotides) under Ambystoma mexicanum (axolotl). RNAcentral's name for it is "eukaryotic LSU rRNA". It matches the Rfam family "Eukaryotic large subunit ribosomal RNA", at positions 376 to 3401 of the family's 3401-position model. Lineage: Eukaryota; Metazoa; Chordata; Amphibia; Caudata; Ambystomatidae. The record is from RNAcentral.
UCGAACUUGUGUUAAGAAUGACCAAACUACCUCAGAGACGAACCAAGGCAGCAGAGUUGAAAGGCACUGGGAAAACAGCUCCAUGCAAAGAACAAAGAAUUGGCCUGGGAUCAAGGAUGCCACAUUAAGGAAUAAUUGCAAGGCACAAGGGGAGUCAAAGAGGAUAAACUCUGUACGCAUGAGAUAUUUCUCUUAGAUUAAGUAAAGAAGAAAACAUUUACAAAUGCCAAGCAUUGGACAGUUAAAGACGCAGAAAGCGUAUGUGAGAUGGAACAACCAAGUCUCCAGAGGCCAAGAGGAGUAAUAGCACCCGUUUAAUUUAAUUAAAGAGCAUCAAAUAAAAGGUAAAAAUUAUCAAAUUUGUGGUCUCCUCACAUGUGAUUCAAGACUCGAAAACAAGCCUAUUCAUUAGGCUCUAACUGAAGAUAGUGAUGUACCUACACUCCCUUAAAGCUUCCUGAGAAAAGAACAUUCAGCAAGGUCAACUACAAAGAAGAAGCCUUGCCUCAGGGCUUAACUGAUGAGAGAUGGUAGGCUAAUUGACUAAGUGGUUAGCAGUCUGACGUUGUUCCCCACACCAGGGUUUAGUUUUGUUCACGUGAUGCUAUUGAGCCAAAAGUCCAAAGUUGGGAGAGAAUGCCAACCAAUCAUGAGGGCCUAUGUAGCAGUGUACUAUACAAUGUUGCAGAAGACAAUACACUCCUGUUAUUAUGCUAUUAAUCUGCAUUAUACAUAUUUACAGGUAGUUCGAGGCUUGGCUAGCAGAUAAGGGCCAAUUAUGUUACUAAGACCUAAACUAUAUAUAGGUAUACAUGUUCCCUUAACCAAUCCCUCCACCCGAUAGGUUUUUUAAUAUUUGCCACGUAGGAUGACAUCAUAGCUGACGUACAUCAAAGUACAAAGCUUUUGUAUAAUCAAAAUAUUGCUGAAGUGUGUGAUCUGCAGUUUGUUCACUAGGUUUCCCUACUUUUUUCAAGCUGAUAAUAAGGUAGUAUUUUGCCAUAUUCUUUGAGUCUGUACUGUUGUUUGGGUCUGAGAUCGUUUAUUGGUAAUUCAAUCUGGCACUUGGAACACUCCAGGUGCUAUUGCACACAGCCACGUGGGGCUAAGCUGCGAUGGGUAGGAGGGCCACUGUGGUACACACGGACACCUGAGGUGAGAGCACGGUGCAGCGGCCGCAGGUGUAGAUCUUGGUAGUACUAGCAAAUAUUCAAAUGAGAACUUUGAAUGUUGGAAUGGAGAAGGGUUCAAUGUGAACAGCAGUAGAACAUUGAUCAGUCGGUCCAAAAAGAUGGACAAGCGUCGUUCAGAAGGGACGGGCAAUGGCUUUUGUUGCCCUUUUGUAGCUCGAGUUGUAAAGGGAGUCAGGUUUUCUUUGUAAAGGGCAGGGCACUCUGGAAUGGGUUUGCCCCGAGAGAGGGGCCAUACCCUUGGAAAGCAUUAUGGUUACAAUGGUGUGUGGUGACUUCUCACUGGUCCUUGAAAAUCCAGGGGAGAUGGUGAAAUCUUGUGCAGGGCCGAACCCAUGCCUGUUGCGAGUCUUCAAGGUGAACAGCCUCUGGCAUGUUGAAACAAUCUUGGUAAGGGAUGUUGGCAAUUCAGAUCCAUAACUUCGGGAUCAGGAUCGGCUGAAGGGCUGUAUCAAUCAGGCUAGUGAGCAAAGCGGGGCUGGGCACUUACAACAACAUUACAAACCAUCUCCCCUGCUGGGGGCAGGCCAGGGCUAGUCGCGAGCCACACCCUUCCUGUGGAUCACCCCAGCUUCAGUGGUCGCCUCUCUCUGUUCCCCUCCUGAGGUUCGGGGCCGGCAUUCUGCCUCGGCUGACACCUAGCAGCUGACUUAGAACUGGUGCCAAUCAGGGACUGUUUAAUUAAAAAAAAGCAUCACGAAGGCCCAUCGCAGGUGUUGAUGCAAUGUCAUUCCUGCCCAGUGCUCUGAAUGUCAAAGUGAAGAAAUUCAAUGAAGCUGAGGUCACUGGUCGGGAGUAACUAGGAAUCUCUUAAGAUAGCCAAAUGCUUCGUUGUCUAAUUAGUGAUGCAAAUGAAUGAACAAGAUUCCCACUGUUCUUACCUAAUACAUAGUAAACCCACAGCCAGGGAAAUGGGCUCAGCGGGGAAAGAGCUUGGCUCUAGCCUGACACCGUGAAGAGACCGCUGGUGAAAUACCACUACUGUUAUAAUUUUUUUACUUACCAGUGGGGCAGGUGGGAGAGACUACUGGGCCUCUCACUUCUGGCUAAAAGUGCCUGGUGCCCGCCGGGCACAACCCACUCUGGAAAUAGUAGAAGAUGGGGAGUUUGACUGGGGCGGUACACCCAAAAGGGCGAGCUCAGGGAGGACAGAAACCUCCUGUGGAGCAGAAUGGCAAAAGUUUUCUUGUUCUCGAUUUUCAGUAUGAAGACACACAGUGAAAGCAUGAUCUUUUUGAUUUCUUGGGUUUCAACCAGGAGGUGUCAGAAAAGUUAGCACAGGGAUAGCUGGCUUGUGGCAGCAAAGCGUUCAUAGAAAUGUUGCUUUUGAUCCUUCAAUGUCGGCUCUUCCUAUCAUUAUGAAGCAGAAUUCACCAAGCAUUGUAUUGUUCACCCCACUAAUAGGGAACAUGAGCUGGGUUUAGACCGUCUUGAGACAGGUUAGUUUUACCCCACUGAUGAGUGGUUGUUGCAAUGGUAAUCCUUCUAAUUACAAGAGGAAAUGCAGGUUCAGACAUUUGGUGUAUGUGCUUGGCUGAGGAGCUAAUGUGGCGAAGCUACCAUCUGUGGGAUUAUGAUUGAAUGCCUCUUAGCCAGAAUCCCUGCGAAACUGUAGUGAUACCGCAGCACUGAGGAGUCUUGGGUGGCCUGGGAUAGCCAGCCUAUGGGCUGGUGUGUAGAGUCACUUGCAUCUGGACUCGAGUGUUGCCAGAAUGGGACACCUCUCCCGCCCGUAGUGUUUGU